GAUGCGCUCGCCUACAAACAACACGGGACAGUGAAAUAAGAUCCGAACUACAGUGGCGUGAACUCUCCAGGGGCGAAGUGUCAAGCACGAAAACUUAAAAUUUACCAAUGAGAAAAUAUCCUAAAGCUUCGGGCAAUCACUCCAAAUCAGCGGCGAAAUACACACAAAGCUUCGCAAAUCGAGAAAUAUAUCGACCAGGUGAAUCGUGGUUUUAAUCACUAAAGAAUACAAGUGAUCCAAGGUCAGAUUAUACGACAAAGGAAUUGCAAAGCGCGCCAUCAUAAGACUUGAUCAAGACGACCUAAGACAAACAAACGAGUGUCUUCCUACCCGCCAGGUCUUCGGCGACGAUCGAGGGCGUCAGACUCCGAGACAACUCUUCUCCUGUCUAUAUUAAAGACUACUGCAUGUUGUCCUGUAGGUAGAAUUACAAACUGGUGAUUAAAUAAGACGAGAUUCCGAGGAAUAGAGCGAGUUCUGGGUCCAAAACAACCAUCUGGCGAUUUGCACAUGGCUAACUAUUCCUACCACGUGUACUUGAAUUUUCCCUCGGAGAUCGCUCAGAAGAGAGCUCUAAAAACUCUGCAGCCUUCAGCAGUGUGUUUAAACUCAUGACAAUACUUUACGGCGGUCCGAUUGAACCACGGGACUCGCAGAGCGUCGGUUUCUUAUGUAGUGUUUUGCCCUUCUAGCAGGCCAUGUGCAAUUUUCCGCGCAAUAACAACAAGGCAGCGGACAAAGAUCUCUGCGUGUCGGAACGUCGUUUGAUUGACAAUAGUCCCUCGCUCUAAGCCAAUCACGGGAAAGGAUUCUGCCUCAACGUCAAAACCCUAAAACCACGUGGCUAGCCAUGUGGCUCAACCUCGUUCUGAUGUUUAUAACUGGGAGGGGCAAUUGAAAAAGGUCUUCGACCUCGAACCAAAACAAUCGCUAUAUCGCAAGAAAAUCUUCGGAAGAUUGUAUUUCCUACCUGUAAAGUUGAACUCAUGUGUCAGCCCUAAAGAGGUUCUAAAUAUUUAGGCUAUGACAGGAGAACAUAUACAAAAUGAGGCGACUAAAUCGGAAAACUUGAAUACAGAUUAACAACAUAAUAACAUGGAAGACCAUCUAUAAACAAACGCAACAAGGAUCGGACGACACAGGGAAUGCUCUCGUACGUGUUUGAUAUCUCGAGAGGGGCCAAAGCAACAAAUCAAAGAAGGACAACGAAACAGCGGACUAUGUUACCAUCCGAACUUCUGUCUGACCUUGCUAUGUAGCCUGGCCUUCAGCUUAUUUAUCCCAAGGUUAAGUGAGUGGUUUUAUGCAAGCGUUAGGGUAAAAUAAAUACAAUGGCUGCUGAAA
This is a long non-coding RNA of Nematostella vectensis (starlet sea anemone), 1344 nucleotides long. RefSeq lists it as uncharacterized. NCBI's taxonomy places the organism in Eukaryota, Metazoa, Cnidaria, Anthozoa, Actiniaria, Edwardsiidae. The record is from RefSeq and is a predicted model, not a curated record. The transcript has 3 exons.